GUUUUCGAGCAGCAGCGAGAAGCGACUCAUUAUCUUUCAUAGAGUCACAGCUUCGGCGAAGAUCAGCAAUUUCAGAUCGGUGCGCAGCGCACUCUUUGUUCUUCGCCGCUAUCGCUUUCUCGUGCUCAGCAGCUUGUUCCUCCAACUUCUUAUUCCAUUGGAGGGUCUUCCUCAACGACCACACCUCUUUGCAAACAGCUUGAUACUUGUCAUCAAGCUUGUUGUACUCCUAUUGGGAACGGAGGGUGUCGUUGGCAGAUUGCAUCCCAAUGGUUGCAUUUGAUAGAUACGCGACCUACAAAACAAAACAAUCGAUUAGUAAAGUAAAAUAAAACACAUAUAUGUAAAAGCGAUCGCGAAUCACUUACAGCAGAUAUAGCUUUUCCAAGCUCUUCGCGUAUCCAAUCCCCAGGCUUAGUCAGAAGCAGCUGGGCAACCUUCGUCCGUACCCCUUCAUCGGCAAACAAGCCAGGAUAAUCAAAUGUGGUGCGGAAGGGGGCGAAUUCAGGCACAGACCUCGAGCUCGACCCAGUCUCGAAGGUUCUGCGGGGGCCAGUCUCUUGGGCCUUCCUUUCUCGUAUCAGCUUAGCGCCGCGAAGUCUCACGGCCAAGUGUGGAAGGACCGCCUCACGGUAUAGAUGCGCACCCUUCUUCUUCUUAAUCGGAUUUCCAGAAGGGUCCUCUGACCGCAGGUAGUGUGCCACGUCAGAAAAAGUGAAAUCUUCUCGCUGGCGCAAAGCGAAAGGAACUCCUUGCCCGCAUUCGAAAAAAGCAAGAGCAGAAGAAAUCUUCUUCACCCGCUUCAGCUCAGCCUUGCUUAGGGCACAAGGAACAUCUAGGUGUACGCGGCGAGCAUUGGCCCACCUCUCGCGGCUCCCGUGUACAAAUGUAGAAUCGAUAAAAAAGAACUCACUCUUCCACUGUGGCCCAUAGUUAGUGGGGAGUUCU
Molecule: long non-coding RNA, 948 nt
Filed under: Zostera marina
Lineage: Eukaryota; Viridiplantae; Streptophyta; Magnoliopsida; Alismatales; Zosteraceae
Description: long non-coding RNA (ZMAR_LNC005415)
Source: RNAcentral